AAAUUGAAGAGUUUGAUCAUGGCUCAGAUUGAACGCUGGCGGCAGGCCUAACACAUGCAAGUCGAGCGGUAGCACAGAGAGCUUGCUCUCGGGUGACGAGCGGCGGACGGGUGAGUAAUGUCUGGGAAACUGCCUGAUGGAGGGGGAUAACUACUGGAAACGGUAGCUAAUACCGCAUAAUGUCGCAAGACCAAAGUGGGGGACCUUCGGGCCUCAUGCCAUCAGAUGUGCCCAGAUGGGAUUAGCUUGUAGGUGGGGUAACGGCUCACCUAGGCGACGAUCCCUAGCUGGUCUGAGAGGAUGACCAGCCACACUGGAACUGAGACACGGUCCAGACUCCUACGGGAGGCAGCAGUGGGGAAUAUUGCACAAUGGGCGCAAGCCUGAUGCAGCCAUGCCGCGUGUGUGAAGAAGGCCUUCGGGUUGUAAAGCACUUUCAGCGGGGAGGAAGGCGGUGAGGUUAAUAACCUCAUCGAUUGACGUUACCCGCAGAAGAAGCACCGGCUAACUCCGUGCCAGCAGCCGCGGUAAUACGGAGGGUGCAAGCGUUAAUCGGAAUUACUGGGCGUAAAGCGCACGCAGGCGGUCUGUCAAGUCGGAUGUGAAAUCCCCGGGCUCAACCUGGGAACUGCAUUCGAAACUGGCAGGCUAGAGUCUUGUAGAGGGGGGUAGAAUUCCAGGUGUAGCGGUGAAAUGCGUAGAGAUCUGGAGGAAUACCGGUGGCGAAGGCGGCCCCCUGGACAAAGACUGACGCUCAGGUGCGAAAGCGUGGGGAGCAAACAGGAUUAGAUACCCUGGUAGUCCACGCCGUAAACGAUGUCGAUUUGGAGGUUGUGCCCUUGAGGCGUGGCUUCCGGAGCUAACGCGUUAAAUCGACCGCCGGGGGAGUACGGCCGCAAGGUUAAAACUCAAAUGAAUUGACGGGGGCCCGCACAAGCGGUGGAGCAUGUGGUUUAAUUCGAUGCAACGCGAAGAACCUUACCUGGUCUUGACAUCCACAGAACUUAGCAGAGAUGCUUUGGUGCCUUCGGGAACUGUGAGACAGGUGCUGCAUGGCUGUCGUCAGCUCGUGUUGUGAAAUGUUGGGUUAAGUCCCGCAACGAGCGCAACCCUUAUCCUUUGUUGCCAGCGGUCCGGCCGGGAACUCAAAGGAGACUGCCAGUGAUAAACUGGAGGAAGGUGGGGAUGACGUCAAGUCAUCAUGGCCCUUACGACCAGGGCUACACACGUGCUACAAUGGCAUAUACAAAGAGAAGCGACCUCGCGAGAGCAAGCGGACCUCAUAAAGUAUGUCGUAGUCCGGAUUGGAGUCUGCAACUCGACUCCAUGAAGUCGGAAUCGCUAGUAAUCGUAGAUCAGAAUGCUACGGUGAAUACGUUCCCGGGCCUUGUACACACCGCCCGUCACACCAUGGGAGUGGGUUGCAAAAGAAGUAGGUAGCUUAACCUUCGGGAGGGCGCUUACCACUUUGUGAUUCAUGACUGGGGUGAAGUCGUAACAAGGUAACCGUAGGGGAACCUGCGGUUGGAUCACCUCCUUA
Molecule: ribosomal RNA, 1540 nt
Filed under: Klebsiella pneumoniae
Lineage: Bacteria; Pseudomonadati; Pseudomonadota; Gammaproteobacteria; Enterobacterales; Enterobacteriaceae
Description: 16S ribosomal RNA
Rfam family: Bacterial small subunit ribosomal RNA
Source: RNAcentral